GUACACACCGCCCGUCACACCAUGGGAGCGGGUUGCACCAGAAGCCGGUAGUCUAACCUUCGGGAGGGCGCCGACCACGGUGUGAUUCAUGACUGGGACUAAGUCGUAACAAGGUAUCCGUAGGUGAACCUGCAGAAGGAUCA
RNAcentral lists this ribosomal RNA (143 nucleotides) under uncultured eukaryote. RNAcentral describes it as "partial small subunit ribosomal RNA". It matches the Rfam family "Bacterial small subunit ribosomal RNA", at positions 1383 to 1525 of the family's 1533-position model. The record is from RNAcentral.